Molecule: non-coding RNA, 101 nt
Filed under: Microbacterium trichothecenolyticum
Lineage: Bacteria; Bacillati; Actinomycetota; Actinomycetes; Micrococcales; Microbacteriaceae
Description: mraW
Rfam family: mraW RNA
Source: RNAcentral
UCUGAGCCCUCGGCCGUGACUCCCAGCUGCUCGUGCCCUGUCGCCACUUCCCCGGUGCCAGGUCGGAGCGGAUGGGGAUCAGGGCCUGGGGACCAGGACCG